UACAGAGGGUGCAAGCGUUAAUCGGAUUUACUGGGCGUAAAGCGUGUGUAGGUGGUCAGGCAAGUCGGUUGUGAAAUCCCCGAGCUCAACUCGGGAACUGCUUCCGAUACUUCUUGACUCGAAUUCGGUAGAGGGAGGCGGAACUCCAGGUGUAGCGGUGAAAUGCGUAGAUAUCUGGAAGAACACCAAUGGCGAAGGCAACCUCCUGGGCCUGAAUUGACACUGAGACACGAAAGCGUGGGGAUCAAACAGG
Molecule: ribosomal RNA, 253 nt
Filed under: uncultured bacterium
Lineage: Bacteria
Description: partial 16S ribosomal RNA
Rfam family: Bacterial small subunit ribosomal RNA
Source: RNAcentral